This 461-nucleotide long non-coding RNA is filed under the name Durio zibethinus. RNAcentral's name for it is "long non-coding RNA (DZIB_LNC000148)". The record is from RNAcentral. Lineage: Eukaryota; Viridiplantae; Streptophyta; Magnoliopsida; Malvales; Malvaceae.
CGGCAUCGUUUUAGGCCUCAUUCUUUUAUAUAAAAGCCAUAUUUAUUUAGCUCAUUUUCAUCCUUUAAAAAAAACCUUCAAAAAAACUCUGUCAACUUUCCCCAACAGACCUAGAAUCCAAUCACCUUCCGUCGUACUAACCAUAGCUCUCCACCUUACUGGUUGCCAUGCUUUUCAUCAUUGUCGAUUGCCAACCGCCAUGUCAAUUGUCAAAAAGCCCAAAAAACUCCCUAAAAGCUCCUUUCAACCCCUUUUUAACAAUUUAGCCUCUUUUUCAACCAAAAAAAAAAUCCCAAACAACCUAGAUCUACGUAAACCCCUUUGGUUCAAACCCGAAAAAAAAUAUCUAAAACUAGCUACUUUUUUUUUUCCUUGGUGCUGUUCCCUGCUCGAAAGGACUAUGUUUUUUUUUUUUUUGAGUUUUCUAUGUUUGGUUUUGGUUUGUUGUUUUUGUAGGCUAG